CUCCAAGUUACUGUCCAGAAGUACAAAAGAGCGCCUAUACUAUACAUACAUGCGACCCAUAGUGAUGUAUGCAUGUGAGACAUGGUCUAGCACCCAGUGGAGUGAAGAAAAACUACAGAGCUUUGAGAGGAAAAUAUUAAGGAAAAUAUAUGGACUAGUAUACAAUAAUGACUUGGAAAGAUUCAAAAGAAGAACCAAUGAAAACCUAUACUAGCUCCACAGUAAGUCUACAGCACUUCAUAGUCAGAAAGAGAUUGAAACGGGCAGGUCAUAUCUAGCGAGCCGAGGGUACACUAAUUAAGGUCACAGAAAGUAAGAUAACGGGGAAAAGACCAAGAGGCAGAUCUAGGCAAAUGAUGCAAUAGAAAAACAUCUAAAAGAAGUCAAUCCAUUUUUAGAUAUGGUAGCGGCAUUAUAUAGAGAAGGAAAGGCAUUCUAAAAGUGGUGGUGUUCCUGAAGAGACCGCUAUAAGCCUAGGAAGAAAAAAAAAAUUAAAGAUAGCAAUUUAUAGUUUAUUCUUUUGAAAAUUUUGACAUUUCAACUUUUUAUUUUCAUUUAAU
Molecule: non-coding RNA, 560 nt
Organism: Cinara cedri
Lineage: Eukaryota; Metazoa; Arthropoda; Insecta; Hemiptera; Aphididae
Source: the annotation of a GenBank genome assembly